AAGAAAGAACCAAGAACUGCUAACUCUUGACACCAUGCCUAAACACAU
This 48-nucleotide transfer RNA is filed under the name Petaurus australis (yellow-bellied glider). Its description in RNAcentral is "tRNA-Ser". Lineage: Eukaryota; Metazoa; Chordata; Mammalia; Diprotodontia; Petauridae. The record is from RNAcentral.